GACAGAGGGUGCAAACGUUGUUCGGAAUUACUGGGCGUAAAGCGAGUGUAGGCGGUUUGGUAAGUCGGAUGUGAAAGCCCCGGGCUCAACCCGGGAAGUGCACUCGAUACUGCCAAGCUAGAGUAUCGGAGAGGUUGGUGGAAUUCUCGGUGUAGAGGUGAAAUUCGUAGAUAUUCGGAAGAACACUAGUGGCGAAGGCGACUUACUGGACACAUAUUGACGCUGAGGUGCGAAAGCGUGGGGAGCAAACAGG
RNAcentral lists this ribosomal RNA (253 nucleotides) under uncultured bacterium. RNAcentral's name for it is "partial 16S ribosomal RNA". It matches the Rfam family "Bacterial small subunit ribosomal RNA", at positions 524 to 776 of the family's 1533-position model. The record is from RNAcentral.